This 104-nucleotide ribosomal RNA is filed under the name uncultured bacterium. RNAcentral's name for it is "partial 16S ribosomal RNA". It matches the Rfam family "Bacterial small subunit ribosomal RNA", at positions 1379 to 1482 of the family's 1533-position model. The record is from RNAcentral.
CCUUGUACACACCGCCCGUCACACCACGAGAGUUUGCAACACCCGAAGCCGGUGAGGUAACCGCAAGGAGCCAGCCGUCGAAGGUGGGGUAGAUGAUUGGGGUG